AACCAGCACCUCAAGUGGUCAGGAUGAUUAUUGGGCCUAAAGCAUCCGUAGCCGGCUCUAUAAGUUUUCGGUUGAAUCUGUACGCUUAACGUACAGGCUGCCGGGAAUACUGCGGAGCUAGGGAGUGGGAGAGGUAGACGGUACUCGGUAGGAAGGGGUAAAAUCCUUUGAUCUAUUGAUGACCACCUGUGGCGAAGGCGGUCUACCAGAACACGUCCGACGGUGAGGGAUGAAAGCUGGGGGAGCAAACCGGAUUAGAUACCCGGGUAGUCCCAGCUGUAAACCAUGCAAACUCAGUGAUGCAUUGGCUUGUGGCCAAUGCAGUGCUGCAGGGAAGCCGUUAAGUUUGCCGCCUGGGAAGUACGUACGCAAGUAUGAAAACUUAAGGAGUUGGCGGGGAGCACCGACAAGGGGUGAAGCCUGCGGUUC
RNAcentral lists this ribosomal RNA (429 nucleotides) under uncultured archaeon. RNAcentral's name for it is "bacterial SSU rRNA". It matches the Rfam family "Archaeal small subunit ribosomal RNA", at positions 474 to 903 of the family's 1478-position model. The record is from RNAcentral.